RNAcentral lists this long non-coding RNA (1775 nucleotides) under Mytilus galloprovincialis (Mediterranean mussel). The record is from RNAcentral. Lineage: Eukaryota; Metazoa; Mollusca; Bivalvia; Mytilida; Mytilidae.
CUGAUAUUAAAUAAACAUGGAUUGUAUAUGUUAUUCUAAAUUAUAUUUUGUUCGGAUCAUUCUAUCACACAAUGAAAGGUAAAUGCGAUUUUUUAUUUCAAUAUAAAAUGUUUACAAAAUCAUAUUAUCUUACAUAAGUUGAUUUAUUCAUACAUACAUAUACAUAGAGUACAUAUAGCCUACUUUAAGCUACAAAAACAAUGUCAUUAUCACCUAGAAUCACAUCGAUAGGAUAUUUAAAAUAAAUGAUAUAAUAACGUAUUUCGAUGAUGAAAUAUUAUUAUAAGAACAACAGUAGUAGUAUACCGUUGUUCCAAUCUAAUUAAAAUAUAGAUCUUUGAUUUCGUUAUACUGUAGUAUAAUAUAAUUAAAAUAUAGAUCUCUGAUUUCGUUAUACUGCAGUAAAACGAAAUCUAAUUAAAAUAUAGAUACUACAAUAACGAAAUCAGAGAUCUACAUUUUAAUUAGAUUACCUUUAUUCGAAAGUCAUAAAUCGAUGAAACCGAAGGAAACAUAUCAACUAUACAAAGAAAACAAACGGAAACAACAGGAACACCCAAGUGCAACGAAAACAAACACCAACACACAUAUAAACGAACUAUUUAAUAACAAAAUCCUUCAAUAAUAAACAUGAUAUAUGAUGUUCACUCAUAUCAUAUGUAAUCACAAUUAUAUGACGUCACUUAUCACUAUAUAAUGUGCGCUAUUUUGCCAUUAUUCUUUAUGGAAUUAUCAUUAUAUUAUGUGGAAUUAUCAUUAUAUGACGAGGACUUGUCGUUAUUUGAUGGGCACUUGGCAUCUUGUGAUAUCCACUUGACAUGCGACAUUUCGUUAUAUAAUGUAAUAUCACAACUAUAUUUUAUUAUUUUUUACUUAUUGUAUGUUCUUUUCCCGAUUUAUAUAGUUAGUUCUUAUGUUGUGUUGUUACACCACUGUUCCAUACUAGGAGGGGGUGUCUGCAAACAUUUGUAAUCCGCCACAUUCUGUAUGUGCCUUAGUCAUGUCAGAAACCUAUAAAUGAGUGUUACCAUACAAUACGAAGGUUUUAAUUUUGAUUCGGUCUCCAUAUAACAAUACAAACAUAAGCUCUGAAGAGCUUUUUACCGAAAAUAAAAUAACAUAAACAAACAUUAAAACACACAACAUGCAAACAAGAUAUAUAACAGCACAGGCAUAUUACAUGGAAAAUCACUACUAAAAUACAUAUCUAAGCAAACCAUAACUGAAGUAAAACCAAAAUUUAAGCACAUAACAUGUUAGAGCAACUUCUAAAAUAUGAGAAAGCUUAUCUACAUGCAGAACAACAGCACUUUGAACCAUUCCAGGAUUGUAUAAGGCUUUUAAAUCGAGAAAAAACUGUUUUCAGUUCUGAAAUGGUCAGGUUGGCUGUUAAACUUUUCUUAGCAAACUGUGUAGUUUUCACAUGUGGUAUAUCCAGUAUAUAUUAAUUUGAUAGUAGCCGUAUGUUGCUGUAUAUCAUAUUUGUUUUAGAUGAUUGUUUUCGAAUGCAUUUGAAUUUAAACAUAUAUAAAUCGUACAAUCAAAACUGUUGUGGAUUUCAUGAGAUAGUAGCAAUGGGCUGUGCAUCGCAUUAUUUACAAUAUAAAUGACCAAAGCACCGAACAUAAUGUCAAAACUACUGAACAUAAUGUUAAAACCACUGAACAUAAUCAAACUACUGAACAUAAUUUGAAAACUACUGAACAUAAUAUAAAUACUACUGAACAGAAAGGAUUAAGCACCGAACAUAUUCAACAAUCAACAUCAGAAGACAG